GAUGAACGCUGGCGGCGUGCCUAAUACAUGCAAGUCGAGCGAACGGACGAGAAGCUUGCUUCUCUGAUGUUAGCGGCGGACGGGUGAGUAACACGUGGAUAACCUACCUAUAAGACUGGGAUAACUUCGGGAAACCGGAGCUAAUACCAGAUAAUAUUUUGAACCGCAUGGUUCAAAAGUGAAAGACGGUCUUGCUGUCACUUAUAGAUGGAUCCGCGCUGCAUUAGCUAGUUGGUAAGGUAACGGCUUACCAAGGCAACGAUGCAUAGCCGACCUGAGAGGAUGAUCGGCCACACUGGAACUGAGACACGGUCCAGACUCCUACGGGAGGCAGCAGUGGGGAAUAUUCGACAAUGGGCGCAAGCCUGAUGCAGCCAUGCCGCGUGAGUGAAGAAGGUCUUCGGGUUGUAAAGCCCUUUUAUUAGGAAAGAAAAGCAGCGGGUUAAUACCCCGCUGUUCUGACGGUACCCAAAGAGUAAGCACCGGCUAACUUCGUG
Molecule: ribosomal RNA, 497 nt
Filed under: uncultured bacterium
Lineage: Bacteria
Description: partial 16S ribosomal RNA
Rfam family: Bacterial small subunit ribosomal RNA
Source: RNAcentral